UCAAAAUUAAGCCGAACCGAGUCCAAAAUGGGUCCAAGGUCCAAAACCCACACCCCAAUUAUGAGUUUCAGCUCAUAACAUUUCCCUUCAUUUCCUCAUUCACAUUUCAAGGCCAGAAGAGGAAGAAGGUGAGGAACAAACCCUUGUCUUCCAUUAAAUCUACCAUAACUUCUUGCUCCGAGCUCCGAUCGCCGCACCAUUUGCGGCCACGCGUCCACUGUGUUGAGCUCUACGAGUCUAUCAGAACAAUUUCAUAGCUUUCGGAACUUGUUGGAUUUAGUUCGUUUGGUCCGUGGGUACGGUGUGUAUGUAUUCAUGAAAUACUCAAGAAAUACUCAAGAAAACCAAAUACCCCACAGGCAAAGAGCUGAUUGAUGCUUCCAAAACUCCAACUGAACAAUUUGUUCCAGUUCCUAUAUUGGAACAUUUACCAACUACAUCCUACAUUUUUCAAGAUCUUGGUGAUGACAAACAAACGGAGAAAAGUGUUGAGGGGCCACUAAAAGACUCGACAGAUGCUGCUGAGAGUAAAAGAGAACAAGUUAUAGAUGUUCCUCAACAUCCACUUCUUUCACAUGUAACAUCUGGCAUUGAGGAGGAAAAGGAGAAAACUAUUGACCCAGCAACUAAAGAUCGGACAGAUGCUGUUGAGAGAUGAGUUCUCUAAUUUUAUGUGCUAGAAUAGCUCAUUGUUGUUCUGCACUUUGUAUUUUAUGUGUUGAGCAGCAAAAGUUCUUUUGUGUAACCAAAUCCCUUUGUUUUUGUAUAGUUUGGCUAAAGUUAAUCAAGCAGAUAUUGUUGUUGAGUUGCGGAUGGUUGAAAAUAUUGCAAUAGAGAAAAAUUUAGAUUUCUCAUGUCUGUCCUUUGACCUUGGAAUUGAUACACAAUCAUCAACUGAGAAAGUAGCUCUGACACAAGUAGGUCAACAAUGAAUAGAGCCUACUGAGUCUGUUGUUGUCAAUCAAGUGAGUGUUGAGGGGCCACUAAAAGACUAGACAAAUGCUGUUGAGAGGUGAGUUUCCUUGUUUGUGUGCUAGAAUAGCUAAUUGUUAUACUAUACUUUGUAUUCUAUGUGUUGAGAACCAAAUAUUGUGUUCUUACAUAUUCUAUAUUUUCUUACACACUUUAUAUAUACUGUUCAAAACUAACAUAAUCAAUGUUUCAAUAAAAGAAAACAAGUUAUAGAUAUUUCUCAACAUCCACACCUUCCACAUGUAACAUCUUGCAUUUAGGAGGAAAAGGAGAAAACUAUUGACCCAGCAACUAAAGAUAAGACAGAUGGUGUUGAGAGAUAAGUUCUCUAAUUUUAUAUGCUAGAAUAGCUAAUUGUUGUGCUGUACUUUGUAUUUUAUGUGUUGAGCAGCAAAAUUUCUUUUGUGUAACCAAAUUUACUUGCUUCUUGUAUAGUUUGACUAAAGCUAAUCAAGCAGAUAUUGCUGCUGAGUUGUGAAUGGUUGAAAAUAUUGCAAUGGAAAAAGAUUUAGAUUUCGCAUGUCCGUCAUUUGACCUUAUGAUUGAUACACAGCCUGCUGAAUCCGUUGUUGUCAAUUAGGUGAUGGAUUUAGGCGUUGAAGCUGCACUAAAGUUUUCUGAACUCCCAACGCCAUCCAUGAUAGCACAACCAACACCGGUGGAAUGGGUCCUAGAUAAGCUUAAGAGUUCAGCAAAAGAAAAUCAAGUUUUCAAACCUAUAUUAGACGUAAUAGAUCAGCUUUACUAUUGAGCAACCAAUGAAAUUGCUUUCCAGAACAAUGAGGUCGAAGAGCUUUUCAAGCUAACUGAUCCCAAUUUCUACUAGGGUAUAGAGAUCAUUUCAUGUCAAUAUCCCCUAGAACAUACAUUGAUCAAUUCAUAAGACUCUUUCUUGUUUUCUUGAUAUAUUUCAAUCUUAUUUAAAUGUAUCUUUUCAUAUUAAAUGCUAUAUAACUACAUUUAUCUACUUUCUUUGCAUAGUUUGUUGGGGCAUUAUGUUUCAUCUUGAACACCAAAAAUAUUAAAAGGUUUACAGACCAAAUAUACUGCAUACCCCUAUUCAUAAUGGUAUAUUACUCAAGACUUUCUGUGUUGUGCUCUAUCAUUCAUGGGCUUUACUAUCUUAUUUAUGUAUUGUAUUCUAUUAUUAAUGUGUUUAUGUUUAUUAUCAUAAUACGCAGUGAUAAGCAAUUUAUAAGGUGAUUAUAUAAGAUAGUAAAUAGCUUAUCACUGUGUAUUAUGAAUAAUAAGCAUCAACACAUUAAUAUUAGAAUACAACACAUAAAUAAGAUAGUAAAACACAUGAAUGAUAGAGCACAACACAGAAAGUCUUGAGUAACAUAUAAUUAUGAAUGGGGGUACGCAGUAUAUUUGGUCUGUAAACCUCUUAAUAUAAUGUUUUUGGUGUUCAAGAUUAAACACAAUGUCCUAACAAACUGUGUGCAAAGAAAGUAGAGAAAUGUAGUUAUAUAGCAUUUAAUAUGAAAAAAUACAUUCAAAUAAGAUUGAAAUAUAUCAAGGAAAUAAGAAAGAGUCUUACAAAUUGUUCAAUGUAUGUUUCAGGGGAUAUUGACAUGAAAUGAUCUCUAUAUCCCACAAAGUAGCAGUUGAGAUCAUUUAGCUUGAAAAACUCUUCGACCUCAUUGUUCUGGAAAGUAAUUUCAUUGGUUGCCCAGUAAUUAGGCUAAUCUAUUAGGUCUGAUGUACGUGUGAAAACUUGAUUUUCUUUUGUUGGAUUCUUAAGCUUAUCUAGGACCCGUUCCAUCGGUGCUGGUUAUGUUGUCAUGGAUGGCGUUGAGAGUUUGACAAACUUUAGUGUAGCUUUAACGCCUGAAUCCAUUGCCUGAUUGAUAACAACAAAUUCAGCAGGCUGUGUAUCAAUCCCAAGGUCAAAGGGAAGACAUUAGAAAUCUAAAUCUUUUUCCGUUGCAAUAUUUUCAACCAUCCGCAACUUAACAACAAUAUCUGCUUAAUUAGCUUUAGCCAAACUAUACAAAAAAAACGAAGGAGUUUGGUUACACAAAAGAAAUUUUGCUGCUCGGCACAAAAUAUAAAGUACAACACAACAAAUAACUAUUCUAGCACAUAAAAUUAGAGAACUCACCUUUCAGCAGCAUUUGUCUGAUCUUUAGUUGCUGGGUCAACAAUUUUCUCCUUUUCUUCCUUAAUGCCAGAUAUUACAUGUGAAAGGGAUGGAUGUUGAGAACAUUGAUAACUUUUUCUCUUUUACUGAAACAUCAAUUAUAUUAGUUUUUAUCAAUGUAUAUAAAAGUGAGUAAGAAAACAUGGAAGCACACAAUAUUUAGUUCUCAACAUAUAAAAUACAAAAUACAGCGCAAUAAUUAGCUAUUCUUGCACACAAACAAAGAAACUCACCUUUCAACAGCAUCUGUCUAGUCUUUUACUAGCCCAUCAACACAUUUCUCUGUUUGUUUGUCUAGGGAGCUUCCAAGAAUCAUAGUGUGGCUAUUGAAGAAAAAUAUGUCAAUAUUAACAUGUUAGAUAGAAACACUAGUAAGAUAGGAUAACUUACGUACUAGAGUCAAACAUUCUUGUGCGAUUGGAAGAUGUAUCACCAAGAUCUUGAAAACUGCAAAACUUAGAAUUUUAUUAAAGAAUGACAAAUAAAUUCUCAAGGAAUUUCAAAUCAUA
Non-coding RNA from Arachis ipaensis, 3624 nucleotides. Lineage: Eukaryota; Viridiplantae; Streptophyta; Magnoliopsida; Fabales; Fabaceae. The record is from RefSeq and is a predicted model, not a curated record.